Molecule: long non-coding RNA, 2437 nt
Organism: Microplitis demolitor
Lineage: Eukaryota; Metazoa; Arthropoda; Insecta; Hymenoptera; Braconidae
Exons: 6
Source: RefSeq, a predicted model, not a curated record
CUUUCGAAAUAUACAAUUGCUCUACUUCUAUAAUUAAUAAUUAAUUAAUUAAUCGUAAUUAAAAAAUCAAAAUAAAAUUUCCAAUUAUCUCUUAUUGUAAAGACUUAUUUGGACCGUAAUUGCUGCCAAAAAAUUGCUCCUCCUUUUAUCUAUAAGAAUUGAUAAUUGUUUUGUUCAUAAAACCGUUUUUAAUUAAUUAAUAAUAUAAAUAAUUAUUUUGCACCUUUAAACCUGUGAAUGACUAUUGUGACGUCAUCGUCGCGACAAUUUGAUUGUCGUUUUUAUGAGGACGAGACAUAGUGGGAUAUUAGGUUACAUGCGUAUGUGACUUUGUAAACAAACAUUUUAUUGUUAUAUUCUAUUUAGGCUCGGUGUAUAAUUAUAAAAAAAUAAUAAUUUUAAUGAUCCUGAAAUCAAACAGUGUUCUAUUUCGUAAAGUUAUCUAUUAGUAAUAGAGAAAAGCUGUUUUUUUUGUCAUAUUCAACAUUCACUCAAAAAAGGAUUACUUCUAUAUAAAAGGGAUGCUAACUGAGCCAAUAAUUUUAUGAUCACGUUUUUCUUUAUAUAAGAGUAUUAAUAAAUAGAUGUAAUUAAAUUACCAAAGCAAUUGUAUUCUAACUUAACUAUACAAAUAGUUAUUGCGAAUUUAAAAAAUCAAUAUUAAUUGUGGAUUUGCUCCAAGUACUUAUAAAAAUAAAAAAAUUUUUAUCAAUCGGUUAAUUGAAUCAUAUGGAAGACGUGACAGUAACUCCAGCAUCUGAAAAUACUGUUAAUCAAGAUGAACUUAACCAUCAACAGCACCGGAACAUUGACGGCAAGGUAUCGGAAUCAAUACUUCGUAUUGGCAAAAAAAAAAUCAGUCAAUUAUCUUGGACGCAAGUAUGCAGAAGACCAAGUGUAUUUUUCGAAAGCUAAAGUCUUGGGGGAAAUAUACUCGUUUAUAAGAGUUGCUAUCAAAACCAGACCUGAUUAUAACGGCGAUUCUGAAAUCUCGCUAUGCAAUUCAGUAAGAGUACAUCUGUGUUUAAUAAAUUCGGUUCUACGGAUAAAAAAGUGUAAGGCAUAGUCAUAACAUUUUCCUAUAUCGGACCACAGACAAGCAAUAAAUAAUUGCUAUUAUAUUGUAUUCAAUGAAGUAAUCAUCCAGUCCCACCAUCUUAGCUCUAGCGUGUCACAACAUUUUAGAAAGAAACUUUUGCAGCGUUAACUUGGUGCUCCUUUAUUAUUUCGGUUAACACUAGUUAACUAAAAUCUAAAAGUAAAUUAUUCAAAUUUAUCUUAAAUUUAAGAAAUAAUGGAGAAAUGUAUAUAAAGUGAAUUUCAAUAAUUGUCAUUUGAUACUGUGAUUGACAAUGGAAGUCCUAGAUUCAAGACUUACUCACGACAAUGUGCCACUCUGUAUUAAUGAUUCCAUCAAAAAGUUCACAUUGAGGCAGAUACCGGGGGACACAAAAUCCUUUGUGAAAGCGAGAUACAUCUUUAGAAUUUCUAUGAUUCGCGCUGAUCUAUGCUAAACGAGUUGAUCUAUUGAUUGCCAUUGUAUCUAUGGAUAAUCAGAUGAUCUACUCUAAUAAUAAUGACGUCAAUGAUACCAUCGAUGUCUGUCCACAAAUUACUUCUGUCAACGAUACAUUCUGCCUAGUCCAGGAGAGUUCAAUUGGAACGAUAUGACCCAAGUAAUAAUACUGGGUUUGUUUUCUUUUGGCUAUGUAAUCGGAAAUGUUCUGGAUAGAUGAAUGGAUGAAAAAAUCCACGGUAACUUAGUUUACGGUUUCGGCAUAUUUUUAACUCUUCUAUUAACCGUAGUAGGCCUAUUUGCUGCUUACUGGAAUUUUGUUCCGUUUUUAGCUGUAAGAACUGCUGAAGGAUUUACUGAGGGUGUGUCGUUUCCUCCAUUGCAUUCAAUGAAUGUACACUGGACCCCGCCAUUAAAUCGAAGUAAAUUUACUGCUUUAGUUUAUGCAGGUUACUAUACUUUAAUUAACAAUUACAUAUUACAAUGGUAUGUUAAAGUUUCCAGAUACCUCACCCAUGCAGUUGUCAGAGGACAACAUGUAAGCAUAGAAGUCGACAAACUAGAGAUAGAAAACAGUAAUUCGAUCAACAGAAAAAUCAAGAAAAAUACUAUAUUACUUCAAAUUCAGUAACCUUGCUUUAAUUUUUUGAAUGAAAAAAAAAAAAAACAAUUAAUAAGAAAUUAUCAUUUAAUAAUUUAUAUUAAAAGGCACAUAUAAAAUCCUUAAUUUUCUACAAGUCAAGUUUCUAUUUUUUUAUUUUUCAUUAAAUAUGUAAUUUUUCAUUUUUUAGUAUUUUAAAAAUUAAUUAAUGUCUGCCUGAAUCUGUUAUCACUACUUUGUUCAAUCUAUCUUACUUACAUGAUGAUGCACUAUUAAUUUAGUUGUUUUAUUAUCAUAAAAAUCGACUUUAUGUUUCUAUA